AGGGUUCGAUUCUGGCUCAGGAUGAACGCUGGCGGCGUGCUUAACACAUGCAAGUCGAACGGGAUCCUGCCAGCUUGCUGGCGGGUGAGAGUGGCGAACGGGUGAGUAAUGCGUGACCGACCUGCCCCAUGCUCCGGAAUAGCUCCUGGAAACGGGUGGUAAUGCCGGAUGCUCCACGAGGCUGCAUGGCCUUGUGGGAAAGCGUUAGCGGCAUGGGAUGGGGUCGCGUCCUAUCAGCUUGACGGCGGGGUAACGGCCCACCGUGGCUUCGACGGGUAGCCGGCCUGAGAGGGCGACCGGCCACAUUGGGACUGAGAUACGGCCCAGACUCCUACGGGAGGCAGCAGUGGGGAAUAUUGCGCAAUGGGGGGAACCCUGACGCAGCGACGCCGCGUGCGGGAUGGAGGCCUUCGGGUUGUAAACCGCUUUUGAUCGGGAGCAAGCCUUCGGGUGAGUGUACCUUUCGAAUAAGCGCCGGCUAACUACGUGCCAGCAGCCGCGGUAAUACGUAGGGCGCAAGCGUUAUCCGGAUUUAUUGGGCGUAAAGGGCUCGUAGGCGGUCCGUCGCGUCCGGUGUGAAAGUCCAUCGCUUAACGGUGGAUCUGCGCCGGGUACGGGCGGGCUGGAGUGCGGCAGGGGAGACUGGAAUUCCCGGUGUAACGGUGGAAUGUGUAGAUAUCGGGAAGAACACCAAUGGCGAAGGCAGGUCUCUGGGCCGUUACUGACGCUGAGGAGCGAAAGCGUGGGGAGCGAACAGGAUUAGAUACCCUGGUAGUCCACGCCGUAAACGGUGGACGCUGGAUGUGGGGCCCUUUCCACGGGUUCCGUGUCGGAGCUAACGCGUUAAGCGUCCCGCCUGGGGAGUACGGCCGCAAGGCUAAAACUCAAAGAAAUUGACGGGGGCCCGCACAAGCGGCGGAGCAUGCGGAUUAAUUCGAUGCAACGCGAAGAACCUUACCUGGGCUUGACAUGUUCCCGACAGCCCCAGAGAUGGGGCCUCCCUUCGGGGCGGGUUCACAGGUGGUGCAUGGUCGUCGUCAGCUCGUGUCGUGAGAUGUUGGGUUAAGUCCCGCAACGAGCGCAACCCUCGCCCCGUGUUGCCAGCAUUUCGGAUGGGAACUCACGGGGGACCGCCGGGGUUAACUCGGAGGAAGGUGGGGAUGACGUCAGAUCAUCAUGCCCCUUACGUCCAGGGCUUCACGCAUGCUACAAUGGCCGGUACAGCGGGAUGCGACAUGGUGACAUGGAGCGGAUCCCUGAAAACCGGUCUCAGUUCGGAUCGGAGCCUGCAACCCGGCUCCGUGAAGGCGGAGUCGCUAGUAAUCGCGGAUCAGCAACGCCGCGGUGAAUGCGUUCCCGGGCCUUGUACACACCGCCCGUCAAGUCAUGAAAGUGGGCAGCACCCGAAGCCGGUGGCCUAACCCUUGUGGGGGGGAGCCGUCUAAGGUGAGGCUCGUGAUUGGGACUAAGUCGUAACAAGGUAGCCGUACCGGAAGGUGCGGCUGGAUCACCU
This 1513-nucleotide ribosomal RNA is filed under the name Bifidobacterium avesanii. RNAcentral describes it as "bacterial SSU rRNA". It matches the Rfam family "Bacterial small subunit ribosomal RNA". The record is from RNAcentral. Lineage: Bacteria; Bacillati; Actinomycetota; Actinomycetes; Bifidobacteriales; Bifidobacteriaceae.